AGCAGUAGCCGCGGUAAUACGUAGGUGGCGAGCGUUGUCCGGAAUCAUUGGGCGUAAAGGGAGCGCAGGCGGGCAUGUAAGUCUUUCUUAAAAGUUCGGGGCUCAACCCCGUGAUGGGAAAGAAACUACAUGUCUUGAGUACAGGAGAGGAAAGCGGAAUUCCCAGUGUAGCGGUGAAAUGCGUAGAUAUUGGGAGGAACACCAGUGGCGAAGGCGGCUUUCUGGACUGCAACUGACGCUGAGGCUCGAAAGCCAGGGGAGCGAACGGGAUUAGAUACCCCCGUAGUCCCUGUCUCUUAUACA
RNAcentral lists this ribosomal RNA (303 nucleotides) under uncultured bacterium. Its description in RNAcentral is "partial 16S ribosomal RNA". It matches the Rfam family "Bacterial small subunit ribosomal RNA", at positions 507 to 809 of the family's 1533-position model. The record is from RNAcentral.